GAAGCUGACCAGACAGUCGCCGCUUCGUCGUCGUCGUCCUUCGGGGGAGACGGGCGGAGGGGAGGAAAGUCCGGGCUCCAUAGGGCAGGGUGCCAGGUAACGCCUGGGGGGGAAGCCCACGACCAGUGCAACAGAGAGCAAACCGCCGAUGGCCCACGCACGUGGGAUCAGGUAAGGGUGAAAGGGUGCGGUAAGAGCGCACCGCGCGGCUGGUAACAGUCCGUGGCACGGUAAACUCCACCCGGAGCAAGGCCAAAUAGGGGUUCAUAAGGUACGGCCCGUACUGAACCCGGGUAGGCUGCUUGAGCCAGUGAGCGAUUGCUGGCCUAGAUGAAUGACUGUCCACGACAGAACCCGGCUUAUCGGUCAGUUUCACCU
RNAcentral lists this RNase P RNA (378 nucleotides) under Salmonella enterica. Its description in RNAcentral is "RNase P RNA component class A". It matches the Rfam family "Bacterial RNase P class A". From Rfam's summary of the family: Ribonuclease P (RNase P) is a ubiquitous endoribonuclease, found in archaea, bacteria and eukarya as well as chloroplasts and mitochondria. Its best characterised activity is the generation of mature 5'-ends of tRNAs by cleaving the 5'-leader elements of precursor-tRNAs. The record is from RNAcentral. Lineage: Bacteria; Pseudomonadati; Pseudomonadota; Gammaproteobacteria; Enterobacterales; Enterobacteriaceae. RNAcentral also lists the same sequence under 1 other name.